GACGAACGCUGGCGGCGUGCUUAACACAUGCAAGUCGAACGGAAAGGCCCUGCUUUUGUGGGGUGCUCGAGUGGCGAACGGGUGAGUAACACGUGAGUAACCUGCCCUUGACUUUGGGAUAACUUCAGGAAACUGGGGCUAAUACCGGAUAGGAGCUCCUGCUGCAUGGUGGGGGUUGGAAAGUUUCGGCGGUUGGGGAUGGACUCGCGGCUUAUCAGCUUGUUGGUGGGGUAGUGGCUUACCAAGGCUUUGACGGGUAGCCGGCCUGAGAGGGUGACCGGCCACAUUGGGACUGAGAUACGGCCCAGACUCCUACGGGAGGCAGCAGUGGGGAAUAUUGCACAAUGGGCGGAAGCCUGAUGCAGCAACGCCGCGUGCGGGAUGACGGCCUUCGGGUUGUAAACCGCUUUCGCCUGUGACGAAGCGUGAGUGGCGGUAAUGGGUAAAGAAGCACCGGCUAACUCCGUG
RNAcentral lists this ribosomal RNA (468 nucleotides) under uncultured bacterium. RNAcentral describes it as "partial 16S ribosomal RNA". It matches the Rfam family "Bacterial small subunit ribosomal RNA", at positions 28 to 507 of the family's 1533-position model. The record is from RNAcentral.